GAUGAACGCUGGCGGCGUGCCUAAUACAUGCAAGUCGAGCGAACGGACGAGAAGCUUGCUUUUCUGAUGUUAGCGGCGGACGGGUGAGUAACACGUGGAUAACCUACCUAUAAGACUGGGAUAACUUCGGGAAACCGGAGCUAAUACCGGAUAAUAUUUUGCACCGCAUGGUUCAAAAGUGAAAGACGGUCUUGCUGUCACUUAUAGAUGGAUCCGCGCUGCAUUAGCUAGUUGGUAAGGUAGCGGCUUACCAAGGCAACGAUGCAUAGCCGACCUGAGAGGGUGAUCGGCCACACUGGAACUGAGACACGGUCCAGACUCCUACGGGAGGCAGCAGUAGGGAAUCUUCCGCAAUGGGCGAAAGCCUGACGGAGCAACGCCGCGUGAGUGAUGAAGGUCUUCGGAUCGUAAAACUCUGUUAUUAGGUGAGAACAUAUGUGUAAGUAACUGUGCACAGCUUGACGGUACCUAAUCAGAAAGCCACGGCUAACUACGUG
RNAcentral lists this ribosomal RNA (497 nucleotides) under uncultured bacterium. RNAcentral describes it as "partial 16S ribosomal RNA". It matches the Rfam family "Bacterial small subunit ribosomal RNA", at positions 28 to 507 of the family's 1533-position model. The record is from RNAcentral.